Molecule: ribosomal RNA, 460 nt
Filed under: uncultured bacterium
Lineage: Bacteria
Description: partial 16S ribosomal RNA
Rfam family: Bacterial small subunit ribosomal RNA
Source: RNAcentral
CCUACGGGAGGCAGCAGUGAGGAAUAUUGGUCAAUGGGCGCGAGCCUGAACCAGCCAAGUAGCGUGAAGGAUGACUGCCCUACGGGUUGUAAACUUCUUUUAUAAAGGAAUAAAGUGAGGCACGUGUGCCUUUUUGUAUGUACUUUAUGAAUAAGGAUCGGCUAACUCCGUGCCAGCAGCCGCGGUAAUACGGAGGAUCCGAGCGUUAUCCGGAUUUAUUGGUUUUAAAGGGAGCGUAGAUGGUUGGUUAAGUAAGUGGUGAAAGUUUGAGGCUCAACCGUAAAAUUGCAAUUGAUACUGGCAGUCUUGAGUGCAGUUGAGGUAGGCGGAAUUCGUGGUGUAGCGGUGAAAUGCUUAGAGAUCACGAAGAACUCCGAUUGCGAAGGCAGCUUACUAAACUGCCACUGACAUUGAUGCUCGAAAGUGUGGGUAGCAAACAGGAUUAGAUACCCUGGUAGUC